Long non-coding RNA from Notolabrus celidotus (New Zealand spotty), 440 nucleotides. RefSeq lists it as uncharacterized. The record is from RefSeq and is a predicted model, not a curated record. NCBI's taxonomy places the organism in Eukaryota, Metazoa, Chordata, Actinopteri, Labriformes, Labridae. The transcript has 3 exons.
GGGGAGGUGGUUGUCAGGGUGACCACCACAGGAGCCUCAAGACCUGAUACAGGAACCCACCUUUCUACAUGUUUCUUGUAUUUUCAGCAUCCAGUGUACCUGCCAACAUCUGCCCAGCACUCCCAUCUGGUGGCAAGGCACUGCCAGCACAAAAAAGCAUUGUGAUGAUAGAGUGACAUGAACACAAUGCCACCAGAAAAAUGUCUGGUACUUCCAGAGCCAGCUUCAAGCGGACACUCAAGGAACUGCAGUUUAUAACACCUCUGCAUUGGCUUCAAUUCUCGCGUCCGGAGGUUGCCGCUUGGCAUGAACGAAUGAAUGUUUGUUUUUUUAACCCAGCCUUUCGAUAAUGUAGUAUACUGACAUGAAGUCCUGUUUACAGAAGAAUACAAGUUGUGCAGAAGUUCAAGUCACAAUAAAAGUUUAAAAUAUGUCAACAG